GUGGGGAAUCUUCCGCAAUGGACGAAAGUCUGACGGAGCAACGCCGCGUGAGUGAAGAAGGUUUUCGGAUCGUAAAGCUCUUUCGUCAGGGACGAACGUAUUUCUUGUAAAUAAUGAGAGAUAGUGACGGUACCUGAAUAAGAAGCCACGGCUAACUACGUGCCAGCAGCCGCGGUAAUACGUAGGUGGCAAGCGUUGUCCGGAAUUAUUGGGCGUAAAGCGCGCGCAGGCGGGAUAUCAAGUCUGUCUUAAAAGUGCGAGGCUCAACCUCGUGAGGGGACAGAAACUGGUAUUCUUGAGUGUCGGAGAGGAAAGUGGAAUUCCAAGUGUAGCGGUGAAAUGCGUAGAGAUUUGGAAGAACACCAGUGGCGAAGGCGACUUUCUGGACGAUGUCUGACGCUGAGGCGCGAAAGCUAGGGGAGCGAACGGGAUUAGAUACCCGUGUAGUCC
This 450-nucleotide ribosomal RNA is filed under the name uncultured bacterium. RNAcentral's name for it is "partial 16S ribosomal RNA". It matches the Rfam family "Bacterial small subunit ribosomal RNA", at positions 354 to 796 of the family's 1533-position model. The record is from RNAcentral.